GAUGAACGCUGGCGGCGUGCCUAAUACAUGCAAGUCGAGCGAACGGACGAGAAGCUUGCUUCUCUGAUGUUAGCGGCGGACGGGUGAGUAACACGUGGAUAACCUACCUAUAAGACUGGGAUAACUUCGGGAAACCGGAGCUAAUACCGGAUAAUAUUUUGAACCGCAUGGUUCAAAAGUGAAAGACGGUCUUGCUGUCACUUAUAGAUGGAUCCGCGCUGCAUUAGCUAGUUGGUAAGGUAACGGCUUACCAAGGCAACGAUGCAUAGCCGACCUGAGAGGGUGAUCGGCCACACUGGAACUGAGACACGGUCCAGACUCCUACGGGAGGCAGCAGUAGGGAAUCUUCCGCAAUGGGCGAAAGCCUGACGGAGCAACGCCGCGUGAGUGAUGAAGGUCUUCGGAUCGUAAAACUCUGUUAUUAGGGAAGAACAUAUGUGGAAGUAACUGUGCACAUCUUGACGGUACCUAGUCAGAAAGCCACGGCUAACUACGUG
This 497-nucleotide ribosomal RNA is filed under the name uncultured bacterium. RNAcentral's name for it is "partial 16S ribosomal RNA". It matches the Rfam family "Bacterial small subunit ribosomal RNA", at positions 28 to 507 of the family's 1533-position model. The record is from RNAcentral.